RNAcentral lists this ribosomal RNA (531 nucleotides) under uncultured bacterium. RNAcentral's name for it is "partial 16S ribosomal RNA". It matches the Rfam family "Bacterial small subunit ribosomal RNA", at positions 355 to 895 of the family's 1533-position model. The record is from RNAcentral.
UGGGGAAUAUUGCGCAAUGGGCGAAAGCCUGACGCAGCGACGCCGCGUGAGGGAUGAAGGCCUUCGGGUUGUAAACCUCUUUCAGCAGGGAAGAAGCGAGAGUGACGGUACCUGCAGAAGAAGCACCGGCUAACUACGUGCCAGCAGCCGCGGUAAUACGUAGGGUGCAAGCGUUGUCCGGAAUUAUUGGGCGUAAAGAGCUCGUAGGCGGUUUGUCGCGUCUGCUGUGAAAAACUCGGGGCUCAACUCCGAGCUCGCAGUGGGUACGGGCAGACUAGAGUGCGGUAGGGGAGACUGGAAUUCCUGGUGUAGCGGUGAAAUGCGCAGAUAUCAGGAGGAACACCGGUGGCGAAGGCGGGUCUCUGGGCCGUAACUGACGCUGAGGAGCGAAAGCAUGGGGAGCGAACAGGAUUAGAUACCCUGGUAGUCCAUGCCGUAAACGUUGGGCGCUAGGUGUGGGGCUCUUUCCACGAGUUCUGUGCCGCAGCUAACGCAUUAAGCGCCCCGCCUGGGGAGUACGGCCGCAAGGCU